GUUGUUAUUAAAAAGGCCCACAGAAUGGGAAUCAGAGGCGGCACCAUCAGAGGACAAAUUAUAUAAAAGUGAGGAUGGAUUUACCAGAGAGUCAUAUUUGAACCAGAAGUUUCAC
Long non-coding RNA from Eptesicus fuscus (big brown bat), 115 nucleotides. RefSeq lists it as uncharacterized. NCBI's taxonomy places the organism in Eukaryota, Metazoa, Chordata, Mammalia, Chiroptera, Vespertilionidae. The record is from RefSeq and is a predicted model, not a curated record. The transcript has 3 exons.